UUUUCUUUCAACAAUGCAGUAACCCACCACAAGAGGCCCAUUCAAAACUUGACCCAGCCCACUCUUCAAAUUACCCCAGCCUAGCACCACACCUCCAUUCCUUUCGACCCGGCCCAUUCCCUUAUAUUUUCCCCUUCAGCAUAACAACACCAACCCUCAACAGACGCGACAACACCGCAAAAACCUUAACCCGCUGACCCAUUUUCAACACGAACCAACCUUACCUGCGACCCUAAACCCGAUUCUCACAACCAACAACCCGUAACCAACCCGUUUGUAGCCUCCUUCACGCAUCCCACGCAAGUUCAUGCGAAGAAAACCCUCGAAUCUUCUACAAAUAAGUCGAGGUGUCCUCUCAACGUAUCAAUUACGCGAAUCUCAGGUAUGGGAGUACGAUUUCGUACAUGUAUGUCACAAUUUUAUUGGCUCAUGGUGAAAAUCCAUUUUGCCUAAAUCUUAUUGGUCCACCGAUUUAGAAAUCGGUACAAUUUGUUGGGGGAAUGUGAUUGGGAGUUAAAAAAUUUUGAAUUCUCUUUGGAAAGGGAAUCCCUAAAUUACCCUCAAUUGGCUUCUAUAUAAAGAGCUCACUGUUGAGCUAAAAAGGGGGAUUUUUUUGGCUUCUUCCUUUUUGGAUUCGGGGAAAAUCGAGGGAUUUUCUCUUCUUUCUAGGAUGGGGGUUCUGGGGUUUGAAUUUUUGGAUGGUCUUUUGAGGGUUCAAAAUUGGGAAGAUUUUUUUUUGGGGGACUGGCCUCUCCUUUCUAGGUUCAAAAUCUCGGAAGCAAAGGGAUUCGAAAGUCGAGGGGGUUGAGAAAAUUUGGAUUGGGGGAGUUCUUAGAAAAACUAGGUCCAAGGAGGGGGGAAAAAGUGAUCCAUUCUGAGCAAAAUCGAUAAAUCCUUCCAUUUUAGUAAAAGUUUGAAGCUCGUCGGAAUUGUUCAAAGUAGCUGCUAGGCCUUUCUCCGGUGGAGAUGAAUCCGGUGAUAGCUCUAGUCCUAUUUUGCUGCUCCCUAAAAGGUAAUACCCUUUUCCAUUUAAGCUUCAUCUGUUUCUGCUUCAUCUCAAUCUUCUAUAAUCGUGAAUAAAUAUUUUAGUAUGAUUUUAUGCUGGAUUGUUUGCUGGUAGAUGGCUUUGAUAGUCGUAGGUAGUUGUUUUGGUAGAUUUUCGAUUUAAUACUCUCAUUUUUUGUUAAAUGCUUAAGGUUUGUAUAGCUGACUUUAUGUUAAAGUUUCAUGUUCUGCGAUUCUGUUUGAGUUGUUGGUAUUUUAUUAAUGUUGGUUUUGUCGUUUAAAGUUUCAUGCUUUUGAUUUUGGUUUGAGUUACUGGUAUCCGGUUAAGGCUACUUUCGUGGCUAAAGUUUGAUUCUGUUUGGUCGUUUCGGGCUGCUUGUAUGUUGUCAUGGUUGGCUUCAGGGUUUAAUGUUGCGUGAUUUGAUCGUUUUGGGUCGAUGGCGCCCUGCUCUAGCUUGUCUUAUUUUAAAGUUUCGUGUUUUAUUCUUGUUUUGAUAGUUUUUGGGCCGAGGGUGUUUUGUUCAUUGUUGGUAUUUAACAUCGUCUUGUUUUCGAGAUUUCCCCAUGAGUUCUUUGGCUUCCCAAAUGACAAAGAAUGAUGAGGAUACGCUCGACAAAAACUGACAAAUCCCGUGAUUCCUCGAUAACCAUUUCGGCUAUUAGAACUCCUUUGAGUUUGACAAAAGAGGAUGAGGAUGAUAGUAGUGCCCCACCACUUUCCCUUUAGCUUUAUCUACCAUGUCUUUUUUUUGUGUGGAUUCGAAUCUUUUAUCCUUCCUUGUCUCUUGAUCUUGUUGCCAGUACAUAAUUGGGUUAGGAAGAUGAAUGCAAUAAUGAGGUAUCUUAGUAUGUUUAUUUAGAAGGAAUGGCCUUAUUUUGUACUCCUCGUGGAAAUGGAGCGUCACUGUUGUAUCUCUCUUUUAAUACCUACUGUCAAUGGAACUUGGAUUUAUAGGUCAAUUUCGCUUCUUUUCUGUGUUUCAAUUAGUCUCUUGACUAGAUCGUGGGGUUACGUUUAGGUAUGAAGUUCUCAAAACAGCUUGCAAACAGUUUUCUCCUGUCCCAUAUAACAUGACAGUAUCAUAUAGUGUGGUAUAGAUUGGUUUAUUUGAAGCGUAUGACUGCAUUUCGAUUUUAGUGUUGGAAAUUAAUAGUGUUCUUGAUUUAAGUGAGACCCUCUUUGCUUUUGUUGAUUGGAUUGUCCUGUAUACUGUACAACAUACAAGAAAAGAGGUGAAACGAACUUAUCUUGGUUCAUCUGUAGCAUAAAUUUAAGUAUCUAUUUUUUGGGAAUUAUCUUCAGCUCUUCAGUUUUGUAUUCCAGUUGAGUGUUUUGAUAGCCAACUGAUAAAAUUUUCUUAGUUUCUGUGUAUUCCUUCUCAUAAGUAAGCACCGGAACCUAUCGUUUUGUCAAAAGGAAUGGAUUGCUAUUUACUAUUAAUGUACGGUCCUUUAACAAAUGUUAUAGCAUCCCUCUACUUCAACAAACAAUACCAACACCUUGAUAGCCCUUCAUAGCCCCAUCUUCUCACCUUAUCAUCCACUGCAAUCUUAAAUUUCCAAAGCCUCCACAUAAGAAGAGCUACUUUUAAAGGAAAGCCUUUUACCUAGUUCUUCUUGUAUAUAGAGUUAAGUUGGCCGUUAUGUCUGAUGUACUCCCAUUUCAAAUUUAACUGAGAAUCACCCCUUCAAAUCGAAAAUCCAUCUUGGUUCAUCCAUCACAAAAUUUUUUUUGGAGGUUUAAUGUUCACUUCAAAAAUGGGCCAAUGAGGCCUAUCCUUCCAAGUCAAGCCCGAAUGAAAGCCCAAAGUUGAGCACGUGGCAUGUGGAUACGAGAAGUCGAAAGAGGAAUAAUGGAUUAAAAUCUCAUCUUUGAAGCGGCCAAGGGAUUAGAACAUUUCUUUUCUUUUAUUCGUUUAUUUAUUUUGUAGUCUUUUAUUUAUUUGUUUAUUUAUUUAUUCCUUUAUUUCAUUUGGGCCUCGAAGCCAAAGUUGUAAAUUUAAUGCAAGUGGAGCGAGAUUCGAGCCAAAGGCUCGAAAACUAGACUAAGACGUGUGAAAUGGGUUGAAAACUCAACUAGAUUAGGUCAGGGCCGAUGGUUUGGGCUUGAAAGCCUAAAUCAAUACUUCCCCGCUUUUCUCCCCUUUUCCUUUCGUUUACUUAUUUACAUGUUUCUUUGCGAACUUAGUUAAAAUCCCUAACUAAGUCGCCUAAAAAUUGGUUUUGCAUAAACACUAAAAUAUCACUAAAAUUGCUUUUCUUUGCAGAAAUCAACUUUUUUCCAAAGUUAGUCAAAGACGAUUUUCAAACUAUCCGGAUAACUGCAAGUUAGCGGACGUUUACGUUAUUAGGAACAGCUAAUAUAGAAUCUCUAACUUAAAACGAUUUUCCUGUUUUGAAUCGUUUGAAAUAACCUUUAUAAAGGUUUCUUAAUUCUUUUUAAAAUUAUGUGGCGAUUCUCUUUCAAAAGUCAAAAUUUCUCAACAAUAGUACCAAAUCUUUACUUUAUUAGUAGUAGAACAUUACUAUUAUUACUAUUAUUUCAUUUCUAUUCUAUUUAUCAUUAUAUUAAUUUUUACUUAAUAUAUAAGUGAAGGUUGUGGUGACUAUUAAAGGUAUUUUGGUAAUUUUAGUCACCACAACCUUCACUUCUAUAUAAUAGUAAAUAAAAUGAUUACACAUGCAUAUGAUUUUUCUUAUAUUUAUUAGUUUUAUCCUCAUUUUUAUGGUGCAAUAAAAUAGUUACAUAUGCAUAUCAUUUUCUUCUUAUAUUUAUUAGUUUAAUUUUGUC
RNAcentral lists this long non-coding RNA (3796 nucleotides) under Capsicum annuum. Its description in RNAcentral is "long non-coding RNA (CANN_LNC022470)". The record is from RNAcentral. Lineage: Eukaryota; Viridiplantae; Streptophyta; Magnoliopsida; Solanales; Solanaceae.